GAGAGAGGCCCGCUGGCACCGGAGACUGCUAAUCCUCGCCCCCUUGGUUGGACCCCAAGGCUCACUCG
RNAcentral lists this transfer RNA (68 nucleotides) under Mulloidichthys vanicolensis (yellowfin goatfish). RNAcentral describes it as "tRNA-Ser". RNAcentral also lists the same sequence under 2 other names. Lineage: Eukaryota; Metazoa; Chordata; Actinopteri; Syngnathiformes; Mullidae. The record is from RNAcentral.